Molecule: ribosomal RNA, 497 nt
Filed under: uncultured bacterium
Lineage: Bacteria
Description: partial 16S ribosomal RNA
Rfam family: Bacterial small subunit ribosomal RNA
Source: RNAcentral
GAUGAACGCUGGCGGCGUGCCUAAUACAUGCAAGUCGAGCGAACAGAUGAGGAGCUUGCUCCUCUGACGUUAGCGGCGGACGGGUGAGCAACACGUGGAUAACCUACCUAUAAGACUGGGAUAACUUCGGGAAACCGGAGCUAAUACCGGAUAAUAUAUUGAACCGCAUGGUUCAAUAGUGAAAGACGGUUUUGCUGUCACUUAUAGAUGGAUCCGCGCCGCAUUGGCUAGUUGGUAAGGUAACGGCUUACCAAGGCAACGAUGCGUAGCCGACCUGAGAGGGUGAUCGGCCACACUGGAACUGAGACACGGUCCAGACUCCUACGGGAGGCAGCAGUAGGGAAUCUUCCGCAAUGGGCGAAAGCCUGACGGAGCAACGCCGCGUGAGUGAUGAAGGUCUUCGGAUCGUAAAACUCUGUUAUUAGGGAAGAACAAAUGUGUAAGUAACUAUGCACGUCUUGACGGUACCUAAUCAGAAAGCCACGGCUAACUACGUG